Molecule: ribosomal RNA, 984 nt
Filed under: Staphylococcus aureus
Lineage: Bacteria; Bacillati; Bacillota; Bacilli; Caryophanales; Staphylococcaceae
Description: partial 23S ribosomal RNA
Rfam family: Bacterial large subunit ribosomal RNA
Source: RNAcentral
GGAUGCCUUGGCACUAGAAGCCGAUGAAGGACGUUACUAACGACGAUAUGCUUUGGGGAGCUGUAAGUAAGCUUUGAUCCAGAGAUUUCCGAAUGGGGAAACCCAGCAUGAGUUAUGUCAUGUUAUCGAUAUGUGAAUACAUAGCAUAUCAGAAGGCACACCCGGAGAACUGAAACAUCUUAGUACCCGGAGGAAGAGAAAGAAAAUUCGAUUCCCUUAGUAGCGGCGAGCGAAACGGGAAGAGCCCAAACCAACAAGCUUGCUUGUUGGGGUUGUAGGACACUCUAUACGGAGUUACAAAGGACGACAUUAGACGAAUCAUCUGGAAAGAUGAAUCAAAGAAGGUAAUAAUCCUGUAGUCGAAAAUGUUGUCUCUCUUGAGUGGAUCCUGAGUACGACGGAGCACGUGAAAUUCCGUCGGAAUCUGGGAGGACCAUCUCCUAAGGCUAAAUACUCUCUAGUGACCGAUAGUGAACCAGUACCGUGAGGGAAAGGUGAAAAGCACCCCGGAAGGGGAGUGAAAUAGAACCUGAAACCGUGUGCUUACAAGUAGUCAGAGCCCGUUAAUGGGUGAUGGCGUGCCUUUUGUAGAAUGAACCGGCGAGUUACGAUUUGAUGCAAGGUUAAGCAGUAAAUGUGGAGCCGUAGCGAAAGCGAGUCUGAAUAGGGCGUUUAGUAUUUGGUCGUAGACCCGAAACCAGGUGAUCUACCCUUGGUCAGGUUGAAGUUCAGGUAACACUGAAUGGAGGACCGAACCGACUUACGUUGAAAAGUGAGCGGAUGAACUGAGGGUAGCGGAGAAAUUCCAAUCGAACCUGGAGAUAGCUGGUUCUCUCCGAAAUAGCUUUAGGGCUAGCCUCAAGUGAUGAUUAUUGGAGGUAGAGCACUGUUUGGACGAGGGGCCCCUCUCGGGUUACCGAAUUCAGACAAACUCCGAAUGCCAAUUAAUUUAACUUGGGAGUCAGAACAUGGGUGAUAAGGUCC